This 469-nucleotide ribosomal RNA is filed under the name Clavispora lusitaniae. RNAcentral's name for it is "eukaryotic LSU rRNA". It matches the Rfam family "Eukaryotic large subunit ribosomal RNA", at positions 23 to 506 of the family's 3401-position model. Lineage: Eukaryota; Fungi; Ascomycota; Pichiomycetes; Serinales; Metschnikowiaceae. The record is from RNAcentral.
ACCCGCUGAACUUAAGCAUAUCAAUAAGCGGAGGAAAAGAAACCAACAGGGAUUGCCCCAGUAACGGCGAGUGAAGCGGCAAAAGCUCAAAUUUGAAAUCCUGCGGGAAUUGUAAUUUGAAGGUUUCGUGGUCUGAGUCGGCCGCGCCCAAGUCCAUUGGAACAUGGCGCCUGGGAGGGUGAGAGCCCCGUAUGGCGCACGCCGACUCUUUGUACACCGCGGCUCCGACGAGUCGAGUUGUUUGGGAAUGCAGCUCUAAGUGGGUGGUAAAUUCCAUCUAAAGCUAAAUAUUGGCGAGAGACCGAUAGCGAACAAGUACAGUGAUGGAAAGAUGAAAAGCACUUUGAAAAGAGAGUGAAACAGCACGUGAAAUUGUUGAAAGGGAAGGGCUUGCAAGCAGACACGGUUUUACCGGGCCAGCGUCGAAAAGGGGGGAGGAACAAGAACUCGAGAAUGUGGCGCGCACCUU